RNAcentral lists this ribosomal RNA (318 nucleotides) under Triticum aestivum (bread wheat). RNAcentral describes it as "partial small subunit ribosomal RNA". The record is from RNAcentral. Lineage: Eukaryota; Viridiplantae; Streptophyta; Magnoliopsida; Poales; Poaceae.
AUGAAAUCUUUGCAUCUUUUUCAGCUCAUCCAGCAUGCUCUGCUCUAUAGGACGGUGAUCGCAGGCUGUUCGCUUCUGUUUGCGCAGGAUAUUGUGCAAAAUUCCCAGUUUUUUGUGGUUUGCUCGCUAUGUAAAAAAUGCAGUUUAUUUGUAACGAUGCUUGUGGUUUGCUUGCUAUUUAAAAAGUGUAGUCCAUCCCAUCGGUCAUGUUUUUUGAGAAAACAAUUUGUAUUGUCACACAUGGUGGUUUCACUUAUGUGUAUGCUUGCAAUGCGGUGUGUGUAUGCGUGCAGUGCGCUCCUGUGGUUUCCUUUGUAA